RNAcentral lists this long non-coding RNA (246 nucleotides) under Malus domestica (apple). RNAcentral describes it as "long non-coding RNA (MDOM_LNC008819)". The record is from RNAcentral. Lineage: Eukaryota; Viridiplantae; Streptophyta; Magnoliopsida; Rosales; Rosaceae.
CUAAGGUUGGAUUUGAUUGUUGUUCUAGGCGCUAAUCGUCAUAACGCCUUGAUGUACGGUGCUAGGGAGUUGUGGGCGAACUCCAGGUGAGUGGGCAGUUUUGUUUUCCGUAUAUAUAUGUACUUGACGUUUUCCCAGAAAUUGAAAUUUAAUGAAAAAUGUGAUUUGAAAUGCCAUGCAUAGAAAUGAUAUGAAAAGUAUAUAGAAAUGUGAAUUGAAUUGCCAUGCAUGAAAUGAUAUGAAAAA